AUAAAUAGUUCAUGUAUCUCCAACAGCGUUCCACAUACCCCAAGAGCUGUGGGACUACGAGUGGGAAGUUGGUGCAGAAGUCCUAGACUAUGUUUCUCCAAGAUUAAGUCUGUUCAAAAUAGUCAUUUCAAGGAACCUCUGGUGUCAGAUGAAAAGAGUUCUGAACUUAUUAUUACUGAUUCAAUAACCCUGAAGAAUAAAACGGAAUCAAGUCUUCUAGCUAAAUUAGAAGAAACUAAAGAGUAUCAAGAACCAGAGGUUCCAGAGAGUAACCAGAAACAGUGGCAAUCUAAGAGAAAGUCAGAGUGUAUUAACCAGAAUCCUGCUGCAUCUUCAAAUCACUGGCAGAUUCCGGAGUUAGCCCGAAAAGUUAAUACAGAGCAGAAACAUACCACUUUUGAGCAACCUGUCUUUUCAGUUUCAAAACAGUCACCACCAAUAUCAACAUCUAAAUGGUUUGACCCAAAAUCUUUUUGUAAGACACCAAGCAGCAAUACCUUGGAUGAUUACAUGAGCUGUUUUAGAACUCCAGUUGUAAAGAAUGACUUUCCACCUGCUUGUCAGUUGUCAACACCUUAUGGCCA
This 584-nucleotide small RNA is filed under the name Pan troglodytes (chimpanzee). RNAcentral describes it as "processed transcript". The record is from RNAcentral. Lineage: Eukaryota; Metazoa; Chordata; Mammalia; Primates; Hominidae.